RNAcentral lists this non-coding RNA (321 nucleotides) under Paramoeba aestuarina. The record is from RNAcentral. Lineage: Eukaryota; Discosea; Flabellinia; Dactylopodida; Paramoebidae.
UCUCUCUUCUUCUUCUACUUCUACUUCUUCUUCUGCCCCUUUGUUGCCCAACCCCCGUCUUCCCCCAGACACGAUACCAACUGAUCGAGGUCAUCGAGAAAGAAAUCCUCAAAAUCGACCGCCAGACAAACCGUCUGCCACUCCUCUCCAUCGAGCUCUCUCUCCACAAUACAACACCGCCCCUGCUAAUCCCCCACGUCCUAUUAACGCUCCUGGCAAGAACUCCUCAACUAAACCUCCUCUUCAACCUGUUCUCCCUAUUUCUCCUUCACGUUCUGCUUCAUCAUCAUCAUCAUCAUCUCCUUCUAUUCUUUCGUAUUU